UGGGGAAUAUUGGACAAUGGGCGAAAGCCUGAUCCAGCCAUGCCGCGUGUGUGAAGAAGGCCUUUUGGUUGUAAAGCACUUUAAGUGGGGAGGAAAAGCUUGUGGUUAAUACCCAUAAGCCCUGACGUUACCCACAGAAUAAGCACCGGCUAACUCUGUGCCAGCAGCCGCGGUAAUACAGAGGGUGCAAGCGUUAAUCGGAAUUACUGGGCGUAAAGCGCGCGUAGGUGGUUAUUUAAGUCAGAUGUGAAAGCCCCGGGCUUAACCUGGGAACUGCAUCUGAUACUGGAUAACUAGAGUAGGUGAGAGGGGAGUAGAAUUCCAGGUGUAGCGGUGAAAUGCGUAGAGAUCUGGAGGAAUACCGAUGGCGAAGGCAGCUCCCUGGCAUCAUACUGACACUGAGGUGCGAAAGCGUGGGUAGCAAACAGGAUUAGAUACCCUGGUAGUCCACGCCGUAAACGAUGUCUACCAGUCGUUGGGUCUUUUAAAGACUUAGUGACGCAGUUAACGCAAUAAGUAGACCGCCUGGGGAGUACGGCCGCAAGCUUA
Molecule: ribosomal RNA, 549 nt
Filed under: uncultured bacterium
Lineage: Bacteria
Description: bacterial SSU rRNA
Rfam family: Bacterial small subunit ribosomal RNA
Source: RNAcentral